AGACAAAUAUUGUCUGAGAGUUAACAUGUGAGCUAGCCACCAUUAAUUAAGGAAAAUUAAUUUGUUUAUCAGAUUACACAGGCAGUCAUCUAGCAAGGUCCUGAGGGGACAAACGACCAGGCAAGUUUGGCUGAAGGAUGGUCCGAAAAAGCCUGCAUCAUCUGAUGAUUCCCAGGGAGGCCGACCCAGAAGAUCUAAGCAACCUAAGGGUGCGGAGCACUCACUGACUGGGUGGGAGGGCAGGAUUGCUAAAAGGAAAGAAGAAAGAAGCCCUAAAAGAGAUGUAGAAAGAGUCAAGAGCAGGGAAACUCCAAGCCAUCAUGAGAAUCCUCUCCAACCAAUCUUAAAAUAAUGCCACAAAAAUGAAUACAAAAUGAAUACAGGAGUGAAAGAAUCAUUGAGGGAGACAGAGUGAGCAAAUUUCAAGAAGAGAACAAUCUGAAAGGUAGGCAGAGAAUGUCUGGGGCACUUUAGUAAGAGGGGAGCACAGCCAGCAGGAGGCUACAGCAAGGAGUAUGGAACAAGCCCAGACCUCCUCCACCCCACAUCUACUGUUCCAGGUUCUGAACCUGAGCCAAAGCCAACAUCAGGACCCUGAGAUCCUGCCUGGGUCAGUAGUGUAAAAUUGGAUUUGAACUCUGGACUUCAAUCCCCACAAUUCCUUGCUCCACUUCCCCAGAAUGCUUUGUAAUCUCACCUGGGCCAAGAUUGAGAAGGUAUUUAACCUGAUUGCAAAAGCUUUUAGGGCUCUUUUGGACUUCCAUUUUGGAGCAGAGGCAUCUCUUCCAUGAUGUGAGGUUAUUUUGUCUAGGCCUCUGGCCUAGGCACAUGUUUCUUACUUGUAUAUUCUUUAAUCCUUAAUCCUUAAUAAACCUCUAAAAAAUAUAAUACUCCUUGCA
This 899-nucleotide long non-coding RNA is filed under the name Monodelphis domestica (gray short-tailed opossum). RNAcentral describes it as "lncRNA (ENSMODG00000046932.1)". Lineage: Eukaryota; Metazoa; Chordata; Mammalia; Didelphimorphia; Didelphidae. The record is from RNAcentral.